Molecule: small nuclear RNA, 101 nt
Organism: Monodelphis domestica (gray short-tailed opossum)
Lineage: Eukaryota; Metazoa; Chordata; Mammalia; Didelphimorphia; Didelphidae
Source: Ensembl
UUGAGUUCAUCAACAAAUAUACUAAAGUUAGAAUUAUAGAGAGUUUAGCAUGAUCCUUGCACAAAGAUGACACAUAAAUUCAUUAAAUAUUCCAUAGUUUU